This 289-nucleotide ribosomal RNA is filed under the name uncultured Paracoccaceae bacterium. Its description in RNAcentral is "uncultured Rhodobacteraceae bacterium partial 16S ribosomal RNA". The record is from RNAcentral. Lineage: Bacteria; Pseudomonadati; Pseudomonadota; Alphaproteobacteria; Rhodobacterales; Paracoccaceae.
CUACUGGGGUAUCUAAUCCUGUUUGCUCCCCACGCUUUCGCACCUCAGCGUCAGUAUCGAGCCAGUGAGCCGCCUUCGCCACUGGUGUUCCUCCGAAUAUCUACGAAUUUCACCUCUACACUCGGAAUUCCACUCACCUCUCUCGAACUCAAGACCGGGAGUUUUGAAGGCCAUUCCGGGGUUGAGCCCCGGGAUUUCACCCCCAACUUUCCGAUCCGCCUACGCGCGCUUUACGCCCAGUCAUUCCGAACAACGCUAACCCCCUCCGUAUUACCGCGGCUGCUGGCAC